UGUUUAUUUUUUCAAAAACUGUAAUAAUCAGAUGAAAAUUUUAAAAGUGAUUUUUUUUCCAAAUAAAUUAUUUAAAAAAAGGUAGCAAACGGGCUCUUAUUUAAGUCAUUUUUAUCUAAACUUAAAUAGGUAUUUAUACAUUGAACCAUCAACCUGUGCAUGACAUAGAAGUAGGUAACCAUUUUACAACCUUCCACCAACAUAAACACUCCUCCUAAAAUAACAUGUAUGCCUUACUACUUAGUAAAACAUGUUCACAAUUUGUUUCUCCAAGGUUGUCCUAGCCCUUCUCAUUUCGGAGUGAAAGCCUGUGGUAGUACCAGUAACAGAUAAAAUCAGCUCAAACAAUCCCAAAAUAAUAAUAUCUUUUCAAAAAUAUAUUAAAAUGUUCAAAAAGUUAGAAGAACAAACACGUACAAAUUUUUAUCUUUAAAGUAUGACUAAGGAUUGUCGUAAGUAUGACUCAUAAUCUUGUAAACUAGCCUGAACUAUUUAAACACAAAUUGUACGUCGUAAACACUAAACUUGAAUCAUAAUAUAGAAAGGUGCCGCAGCCCUCUAAAAGUCAGAGACAUAGACACAAUUAGCCAAACCACAUGAAAAAACAUUGUAUGUUUUCUAUGUUCUCUGUUUGCAUAUUUUAUACCUAUUUUCAUUUGAACUAGAGUUGUUGUGUUUUAACAUAUUGUUCCAAUCAGGAAUCAAACUGGAGUACUACUCGAACGAUUUGAUCAUAACUGAAGUGCAUCAACCACUUGCGUCCAGAAUAAUGAUAAUAUAGUGAAAAACAUAUGCAAUCUAGAAGAAGUAGGUGGAGUUGAUGAAACUUACAGCAAAAAUAGUAGCAUGUCCAGGAUCAGCAAGGUGAGCAAAGAGGUUAUCAAUAGGACCAGUGCCUGUGUAUAUAUGCUGGAACCAAGCUCCCAUCACAGCCAACAUAGCCAAUCUUCCAUUCUUAAUUUCCUUUGUUCUCAACUCCUUA
This 982-nucleotide long non-coding RNA is filed under the name Cicer arietinum (chickpea). Its description in RNAcentral is "long non-coding RNA (CARI_LNC002410)". Lineage: Eukaryota; Viridiplantae; Streptophyta; Magnoliopsida; Fabales; Fabaceae. The record is from RNAcentral.